GAGGGAAAGUUGAAAAGAACUUUGAAGAGAGAGUUCAAUAGGGCGUGAAACCGCUUAGAAGAAAACGGACGGAGCCGUCGGGAGCCUUUGGGAAUCAGUCGUGCGGUGCGUCGCCGUCGCGUAGUCUAGAGCGCAAGUCUAGCUGCGUGACAUGCAUGGGUGACGUUCGUGCGGCGCAUUUCUCGAAGGUAAGCACUGCGACCGAUACGAAAGGCCGACGAAACGUGCGGAUUGAGGGCGAGUUCUCUCACGGGAGCUCGUAACCAGUCUGUGCGUCUGAGUCGUCGGACGUAGUAUGUAUCGAAUGCCAAAGUAUUGAAUACGUCGGCGUAAACGCUCGCUCGUGCAGUGGCUAGUUGGUCAAUCUGGUUGGUAUCUGCUCGCAGGUGCCGGCCGAUUCGAUUCGACUAUAAAACUGUCGGCGACAUAUCGACGUAUUGGCUAUCAGCAGUGUCAGUGUCGGCCACCCGUCCGACCCGUCUUGAAACACGGACCAAGGAGUCUAACAUAUGCGCGAGCCAAUGGGUGGAAAACCCACAGGCGCAAUAAAAGUAAACGCCGUUUCGGACGGCCGAGGUACGAUCCUGGGAUUCGAGCGAUCCCAGGCGCAGUACCGUCCCGUCCCGACCGCACGUCGGUAGGGCGGCGAUAGAGUGCAUACGUUGGGACCCGAAAGAUGGUGAACUAUGCCUGAGCAGAGCGAAGCCAGAGGAAACUCUGGUGGAGGUUCGUAGCGGUUCUGACGUGCAAAUCGAUCGUCAGACUUGGGUAUAGGGGCGAAAGACUAAUCGAAC
RNAcentral lists this ribosomal RNA (794 nucleotides) under Laimydorus sp. Its description in RNAcentral is "partial large subunit ribosomal RNA". It matches the Rfam family "Eukaryotic large subunit ribosomal RNA", at positions 355 to 940 of the family's 3401-position model. The record is from RNAcentral. Lineage: Eukaryota; Metazoa; Nematoda; Enoplea; Dorylaimida; Dorylaimidae.